RNAcentral lists this ribosomal RNA (493 nucleotides) under Klebsiella pneumoniae. RNAcentral's name for it is "partial 23S ribosomal RNA". It matches the Rfam family "Bacterial large subunit ribosomal RNA", at positions 1111 to 1607 of the family's 2925-position model. The record is from RNAcentral. Lineage: Bacteria; Pseudomonadati; Pseudomonadota; Gammaproteobacteria; Enterobacterales; Enterobacteriaceae.
AGCAGCCAUCAUUUAAAGAAAGCGUAAUAGCUCACUGGUCGAGUCGGCCUGCGCGGAAGAUGUAACGGGGCUAAACCAUGCACCGAAGCUGCGGCAGCGACACUAUGUGUUGUUGGGUAGGGGAGCGUUCUGUAAGCCUGCGAAGGUGUGCUGUGAGGCAUGCUGGAGGUAUCAGAAGUGCGAAUGCUGACAUAAGUAACGAUAAAGCGGGUGAAAAGCCCGCUCGCCGGAAGACCAAGGGUUCCUGUCCAACGUUAAUCGGGGCAGGGUGAGUCGACCCCUAAGGCGAGGCCGAAAGGCGUAGUCGAUGGGAAACAGGUUAAUAUUCCUGUACUUGGUGUUACUGCGAAGGGGGGACGGAGAAGGCUAUGUUAGCCGGGCGACGGUUGUCCCGGUUUAAGCAUGUAGGCUGAUUGUCCAGGCAAAUCCGGAUAAUCAAGGCUGAGGUGUGAUGACGAGGCACUACGGUGCUGAAGUAACAAAUGCCCUGCUU